UUAGAACCUCGGCGUACCGCUCAGUAACACGUGGGUAACCUGCCCUAUGCUAGGGGAUAACCUCGGGAAACUGAGAAUAAUACCCUAUAGUUCACCACGCCUGGAACGGUGGGUGGAUGAAAGCUCCGGCGCAUAGGAUGGGCCUGCGGSGUAUCAGGUUGUAGGGGGUGUAAUGUACCCUCUAGCCAUCUACGCGUACGGGUGUUGGGAGACAUCGCCCGGAGAUGGAUUCUGAGACACGAAUCCAGACCCUACGGGGUGCAGCAGGCGCGAAAACUUGGCAAUGCGAGAAAUCGUGACCAGGGAACUCCAAGUGCAUCGGGUAAGACCGAUGCUUUUCUUGACUCUUCAAAGGUCUCGGAAUAAGGGGUGGGUAAGGACGG
This 383-nucleotide ribosomal RNA is filed under the name unidentified euryarchaeote. RNAcentral's name for it is "bacterial SSU rRNA". It matches the Rfam family "Archaeal small subunit ribosomal RNA", at positions 70 to 455 of the family's 1478-position model. Lineage: Archaea; Methanobacteriati; Methanobacteriota. The record is from RNAcentral.